UACGUAGGGUGCGAGCGUUGUCCGGAAUUAUUGGGCGUAAAGGGCUCGUAGGCGGUUUGUCGCGUCGGGAGUGAAAUCCACUGGCUUAACUGGUGGCUUGCUUUCGAUACGGGCAGACUGGAGGUAUGCAGGGGAGAACGGAAUUCCUGGUGUAGCGGUGAAAUGCGCAGAUAUCAGGAAGAACACCCGUGGCGAAGGCGGCUCUCUGGGACGGUACUGACGCUGAGAAGCGAAAGCGUGGGGAGCAAACAGG
Molecule: ribosomal RNA, 253 nt
Filed under: uncultured bacterium
Lineage: Bacteria
Description: partial 16S ribosomal RNA
Rfam family: Bacterial small subunit ribosomal RNA
Source: RNAcentral